Molecule: ribosomal RNA, 559 nt
Filed under: uncultured bacterium
Lineage: Bacteria
Description: bacterial SSU rRNA
Rfam family: Bacterial small subunit ribosomal RNA
Source: RNAcentral
CGAUCGGUAGGGGUUCUGAGAGGAAGGUCCCCCACAUUGGAACUGAGACACGGUCCAAACUCCUACGGGAGGCAGCAGUGAGGAAUAUUGGUCAAUGGGCGGAAGCCUGAACCAGCCAAGUAGCGUGAAGGACGACUGCCCUAUGGGUUGUAAACUUCUUUUAUGCGGGGAUAAAGUUCGCCACGUGUGGCGUUUUGCAGGUACCGCAUGAAUAAGGACCGGCUAAUUCCGUGCCAGCAGCCGCGGUAAUACGGAAGGUCCAGGCGUUAUCCGGAUUCAUUGGGUUUAAAGGGAGCGUAGGCCGCCUUUUAAGCGUGUUGUGAAAUGUAGGGGCUCAACCCCUGCACUGCAGCGCGAACUGGAGGGCUUGAGUACACACAAAGUAGGCGGAAUUCAUGGUGUAGCGGUGAAAUGCUUAGAUAUCAUGAAGAACCCCGAUUGCGAAGGCAGCUUACUGGAGUGUAACUGACGCUGAAGCUCGAAAGCGCGGGUAUCGAACAGGAUUAGAUACCCUGGUAGUCCGCGCGGUAAACGAUGGAUGCCCGCUGUUUGCCAAUUU